UACGAAGGGUGCAAGCGUUACUCGGAAUUACUGGGCGUAAAGCGUGCGUAGGUGGUGAGUUAAGUCUGUCGUGAAAGCCCCGGGCUCAACCUGGGAAUGGCGAUGGAUACUGGCUCGCUAGAGUGCGGUAGAGGGUGGUGGAAUUCCCGGUGUAGCAGUGAAAUGCGUAGAGAUGUGGAGGAACACCGAUGGCGAAGGCAGCCCCCUGGGCUGAGAUUGACGCUCAGGCACGAAAGCGUGGGGAGCAAACAGG
RNAcentral lists this ribosomal RNA (253 nucleotides) under uncultured bacterium. Its description in RNAcentral is "partial 16S ribosomal RNA". It matches the Rfam family "Bacterial small subunit ribosomal RNA", at positions 524 to 776 of the family's 1533-position model. The record is from RNAcentral.